RNAcentral lists this ribosomal RNA (918 nucleotides) under uncultured archaeon. Its description in RNAcentral is "bacterial SSU rRNA". It matches the Rfam family "Archaeal small subunit ribosomal RNA", at positions 1 to 922 of the family's 1478-position model. The record is from RNAcentral.
UUCCGGUUGAUCCUGCCAGAGGUUACUGCUAUCGGUGUUCGCCUAAGCCAUGCGAGUCAUAUGUAGCAAUACAUGGCGUACUGCUCAGUAACACGUGGAUAACCUGCCCUUGGGACCGGCAUAACCCCGGGAAACUGGGGAUAAUUCCGGAUAACGCAUAUUUGCUGGAAUGCUUUAUGCGUCAAAAGGAUUCGUCUGCCCAAGGAUGGGUCUGCGGCCUAUCAGGUAGUAGUGGGUGUAAUGUACCUACUAGCCAGCGACGGGUACGGGUUGUGAGAGCAAGAGCCCGGAGAUGGAUUCUGAGACAUGAAUCCAGGCCCUACGGGGCGCAGCAGGCGCGAAAACUUUACAAUGCGGGAAACCGUGAUAAGGGGACACCGAGUGCCAGCAUCAUAUGCUGGCUGUCCGGAUGUGUAAAAUACAUCCGUUAGCAAGGGCCGGGCAAGACCGGUGCCAGCCGCCGCGGUAACACCGGCGGCCCGAGUGGUGAUCGUGAUUAUUGGGUCUAAAGGGUCCGUAGCCGGUUUGGUCAGUCCUCCGGGAAAUCUGAUAGCUUAACUAUUAGGCUUUCGGGGGAUACUGCCAGACUUGGAACCGGGAGAGGUAAGAGGUACUACAGGGGUAGGAGUGAAAUCUUGUAAUCCCUGUGGGACCACCUGUGGCGAAGGCGUCUUACCAGAACGGGUUCGACGGUGAGGGACGAAAGCUGGGGGCACGAACCGGAUUAGAUACCCGGGUAGUCCCAGCCGUAAACGAUGCUCGCUAGGUGUCAGGCAUGGCGCGACCGUGUCUGGUGCCGCAGGGAAGCCGUGAAGCGAGCCACCUGGGAAGUACGGCCGCAAGGCUGAAACUUAAAGGAAUUGGCGGGGGAGCACAACAACGGGUGGAGCCUGCGGUUUAAUUGGAUUCAACGCCGGA